ACACUUCCUAAAUUUCAGAUGAGUCAUGAAGUGUUUCAAUCUACUCACUGGGGCCUAAGCCUCGAGGAAACCAGCAAAGACCAUAUCCUGCCCCAACGGUCACACUCAUUAGAAUAUCGAACACACCCGGAUGUUGAUCUAUAAUACUUAUUCAUUAAGUUUAAAAUUCGGUUUAAAUAUAACAAUACACUUCUGUACACUCCAGCCCACUACAUAUAGAAAAUGAUGAUAUCAAAGCUGAACUAUUAUUACGCGAUUCGGGAAACUCCGAUAAAGUAGUUCGACAUUGAAUAUACAGCUCUUAACUCCGCCAUCUUGCCUCGUCGUGACCACAGCAAGAGAAAUAACUCAGUUAGUCCACUGCAAAAGUGAGAGAAAGAUUUACUUCAGGACAGAGUGGAGAUCACGUGGUGCAGACGCUGCCUCCUUCAAACUUGGUCCUGUACAGGGGAGACCACUGUCAACAAUGUCUGGUCAUCCGUCGUCUGCUCGGGGACAGCGACCUAAAAGACGAGGUGGUAGACAGAGUUGUAGUGGCGGUGGCCGGGUCAAAGUUUACCUACACGCUGUGACUGAUGAACAGGCGGCACUACUUACAGAUACAGUGAACACACGCCCCCUGGAUGAGGUAAA
Long non-coding RNA from Pomacea canaliculata, 633 nucleotides. RefSeq lists it as uncharacterized. NCBI's taxonomy places the organism in Eukaryota, Metazoa, Mollusca, Gastropoda, Architaenioglossa, Ampullariidae. The record is from RefSeq and is a predicted model, not a curated record. The transcript has 4 exons.